GCUGAAGCGGGGGUAAGACCCCGUGGAGGGCCGAACGCACGUCGGUUGAAAACGGCGGCGAUGACCUGCGGAUAGGGGUGAAAGGCCAAUCAAACCCGGAGAUAUCUCGUUCUCCCCGAAAUAGCUUUAGGGCUAGCGUCGCGCGUUCACCGCCGGAGGUAGAGCACCGGAUGGACGAGGGGGCUUCGCCGCCUACCGAAUCCAACCGAACUCCGAAUGCCGGCGGCCCAGAGCGCGGCAGUCAGAGCAUGUGGGCUAAGCUGUGUGCUCGAGAGGGAAACAGCCCGGACCGCCCGCUAAGGUCCCCAAGUUCCAGCCGAGUGGCAAAGGAUGUGCGUCCGCCCAGACAACCAGGAUGUUGGCUUAGAAGCAGCCAUGCAUUCAAAGAGUGCGUAACAGCUCACUGGUCGAGUGGACAUGCGCCGACAAUACACGGGGCUAAGCUGGACACCGAAGCGGCGGGAUUUUGAUUUUCAGAAUCGGUAGGGGAGCUUCCCAUGGGCGGUGAAGCCGCCGGGCGACCGGCGGUGGAGCGCAUGGGAGUGAGAAUGCUGGCAUGAGUAGCGAGAGACGAGAGAGUAACUCGUCCGCCGUGAACCCGAGGUUUCCUGGGCAAGGCUAAUCCUCCCAGGGUCAGUCGGGGGCUAAGGCGAGGCCGGAAGGCGUAGCCGACGCGCAGCAGGCAGACAUUCCUGCACCGCGCACGCGGCGCUACGACCGACGGGGCGACGGAUGGGGGUGGCUCGGCGGGGUUCUGGACGUCCCCGUGAUGGAGCGCGGCCCGCGGACCAGGGAAAUCCGGUCCGCACGAGGGCGAGGCUCCGGACGAAGCGAUCAAGCGAAGCGAGUGAGCCCGAGGUCCCUAGAAAAACCCCUAGGCAGGCGCGUGCGCGCCCGUACCGCAAACCGACACAGGUGGGUGGGUAGAACAUACCGAGGCGAUCGGGUCAACCAUGGUCAAGGAACUCGGCACAAUGGCCCCGUAACUUCGGGAGAAGGGGUGCCCGCGCGUACGUGAACGGACUUGCUCCGGGAGCGGAGGCGGGCCGCAGUGGAGAGGCCCAAGCGACUGUUUACCAAAAACACAGGACUCUGCAGAAGCCGCAAGGCGACGUAUAGGGUCUGACGCCUGCCCGGUGCCGGAAGGUCACGCGGAGGAGUUAGCGCAUCGCGCGAAGCCCCGAAGCCAAGCCCCGGUAAACGGCGGCCGUAACUAUAACGGUCCUAAGGUAGCGAAAUUCCUUGUCGGGUAAGUUCCGACCUGCACGAAAGGCGCAACGACUUGGGCGCUGUCUCGACCAUGGACCCGGUGAAAUUGCACUGGUCGUGAAGAUGCGACUUACCCGCGGAAGGACGGAAAGACCCCGUGAACCUUCACUGCAGCUUGGCAUUGGCCGCUGGUCCCGCGUGUAGAGGAUAGGCAGGAGGCGCAGAUCCGGAGGCGCCAGCCCCCGGGGAGCCGCCCUUGGAAUACUGCCCUCGCGCGACCGGCGUCCUAACCCGAGGCCGUCAACCGGCUCGGGGACCGUGCCAGGCGGGCAGUUUGACUGGGGCGGUCGCCUCCUAAAGAGUAACGGAGGCGCGCGAACGUCCGCGCGGGACGGUCGGCAACCGUCCUUUUGAAUGCAAGAGUACAAGCGGGCUUGACUGCGAGGCCCACAAGUAUUGAUAAUGGUGCAAAGGUCAAUGAGAAGCUUCUUGACACAUACAGAAAAUGGGACAAGGAAAACCCAUUCGACUUAGGCGAGGGCUGGGGCGGAGAGCCUUGGUCGCAGAAAGAGAUGCCACUUGACGAGGGACUUGUCAAAGAAACUGCAAAAAGCUGUGAAACUGCCAUUGUGAUAAUAGGCAGGACGGCAGGCGAGGAGCAGGACAAUAAGCUGGAGGCAGGCUCUUAUUUGCUCAGCGAUGACGAGAUAGCUAUGCUCACGGUGGUGAGGGAGAAUUUCAAGAAAGUUGUUUUGCUUCUCAACGUGGGAAAUAUCAUAGAUAUGACCGACAUAAACAGAAUUGCCCCUGACGCUGUGCUUU
This 2031-nucleotide ribosomal RNA is filed under the name human gut metagenome. RNAcentral describes it as "bacterial LSU rRNA". It matches the Rfam family "Bacterial large subunit ribosomal RNA", at positions 744 to 2456 of the family's 2925-position model. The record is from RNAcentral.